This 1605-nucleotide long non-coding RNA is filed under the name Homo sapiens (human). Its description in RNAcentral is "non-protein coding lnc-ZNF705E-1:5". Lineage: Eukaryota; Metazoa; Chordata; Mammalia; Primates; Hominidae. The record is from RNAcentral.
AGUCUGCCUCCCUCGGCGGGCCGGGUCUCCAGGGAGGACCUGAUUUUUCUUCACCCAUAGUUAGGGAGGCGCAAUCGCCCUGGCUUUGGGGCUGGGGCCUCCGGGGAGGUUCCGGUAGGGGCGUUGGAGAGGCCGCUCUUUUUGCAAGGCCCGAGACGGCGGGCCCUGCGCAGGCCGCCCUAUUCCGCGCCCUCAGGGCGUCAGUAUCCGCCUGAGGCCGGAUACCCCAGCUGGGCCCGGAUGCCGUCGAUGGGCCCGGAGCAUCCUCGGCGCUGCCCUCCCAGAGCCCCGCAGAGGCUGAGGUGGCGCGGGGGGCGGGCCCGGCUCCGCGAGAAGCAGCGGCAGCGAGGGCUGGAGGACCCGGGCUACGGGGCUCUGGGGCGUCUGGCCUGGGUGGGACUGAGCCCAUUCGGGGGGACUCCGGGGUUCUGGUGUAGGUAGAUCCGGGGCAGGCUCAGGACCAAGUCCCUCUCCUUCCACCAAGGAGCGCCCAGAGGCCGGCGGGAGCUCCAGGUUCACCUCCUCCUCCUCCAGGAAAUCCCACUUCCAACUGGAUGUCUGGAUGAACUACUGAAAGCUGCUGAGUGUCCUGCAGCAGGGUCGGUGGACCUGGGUGUCUGUCUGGACACAUCCUCCAGUGGCCUGGACCUGCCCAUGAAGGUGGUGGACAUGUUCAGGAGCUGUUUGCCUGCGUGUGCUGUGAACUUCAAGUGAGCCAAGAGCUGGUUAGAGCUGCAAGGACACCGCCUGCACAGGAUGCCCGGGGCUGGGCAUUACCUGCUGCAAUGACAACAUCUGGCUGGAUGGCAGAGAGCUGACAGACCGUCGCGACGUCCCAGUCCAGCUGGGCCACUGUCACCCUGGGGCUGUCUAAGUUGGCAGUGAUAUCUGCACCUAAUGAGAGGCCAUUGAGAAGGACAUUCCCUCAGAGCUGCUAGAGGACCCAGCUGUGACAGUCCCUGAAGAUGUAUGCCCGGGGGUGGCACAUCUUGCAGAUGGCCAGGCCUGUGAGGCCAGCACCACUGCCAAGCUCUAGGACAGUCCUGGUGGGAGGAAAGGGGGUCAUGUCUGCGACUGCACCAGGGUAAGCCUGCCUCGGUGCCCUGCCCUGUGCCCUGAGGUCACCUAUCAGUGAAGGCUGCUGGGUUCUCGAUGGCCCAUUCUGCAAGGUAGAGGGCGGCAUCCCAUGUGACCAGGACUGUGAUGCCGUGGGAGAUGAUGGCUGUGCUCUUGGAGAGUGUGACUGAGCCUCCCGAGGGCAGCACCAAGAGAAGGCGAGAGAGUCAGUCCAGCGAUCAGAAGGCAAGUGGCUUAGAAGACAAGCAGCCAUCCACCACAUGGCUGAAUAAACCAUGACAGGACAAAUCGCCACUCAGCAAUGAGAAGCAGCUAACUGUUGACAUGCCAACAGCUUGCACAGGCCUCAAGGGUGUCACGUGGCAUGAAAGACACUCAUCUCAGGCCACACAGGAUUCCAUUCAUUGAACAUUCCUGAGACAAUGGAAUUCUGGCGAUGGAGCACAGGUCAGUUGUGGCCAGGGGCCGGGUGUGGCUAUGAAGGGGUGGCUGCCUUGUGAUGAUUCAAUAUGCUAUGUUUUUCCUUUG